GACGAACGCUGGCGGCGUGCUUAACACAUGCAAGUCGAGCGGUAAGGCCCUUUCGGGGGUACACGAGCGGCGAACGGGUGAGUAACACGUGGGUGACCUGCCCUCAGCUCUGGGAUAAGCCUGGGAAACUGGGUCUAAUACCGGAUAUGACUCCAUGACGCAUGUUGUGGGGUGGAAAGCCUUGUGCGGCUGGGGAUGGGCCCGCGGCCUAUCAGCUUGUUGGUGGGGUGAUGGCCUACCAAGGCGACGACGGGUAGCCGGCCUGAGAGGGCGACCGGCCACACUGGGACUGAGACACGGCCCAGACUCCUACGGGAGGCAGCAGUGGGGAAUCUUGCGCAAUGGGCGAAAGCCUGACGCAGCGACGCCGCGUGAGGGAUGACGGCCUGGU
Molecule: ribosomal RNA, 391 nt
Filed under: uncultured bacterium
Lineage: Bacteria
Description: bacterial SSU rRNA
Rfam family: Bacterial small subunit ribosomal RNA
Source: RNAcentral